This 468-nucleotide ribosomal RNA is filed under the name uncultured bacterium. RNAcentral's name for it is "partial 16S ribosomal RNA". It matches the Rfam family "Bacterial small subunit ribosomal RNA", at positions 28 to 507 of the family's 1533-position model. The record is from RNAcentral.
GACGAACGCUGGCGGCGUGCUUAACACAUGCAAGUCGAACGGAAAGGCCCUGCUUUUGUGGGGUGCUCGAGUGGCGAACGGGUGAGUAACACGUGAGUAACCUGCCCUUGACUUUGGGAUAACUUCAGGAAGCUCGGGCUAAUACCGGAUAGGAGCUCCUGCUGCAUGGUGGGGGUUGGAAAGUUUCGGCGGUUGGGGAUGGACUCGCGGCUUAUCAGCUUGUUGGUGGGGUAGUGGCUUACCAAGGCUUUGACGGGUAGCCGGCCUGAGAGGGUGACCGGCCACAUUGGGACUGAGAUACGGCCCAGACUCCUACGGGAGGCAGCAGUGGGGAAUAUUGCACAAUGGGCGGAAGCCUGAUGCAGCAACGCCGCGUGCGGGAUGACGGCCUUCGGGUUGUAAACCGCUUUCGCCUGUGACGAAGCGUGAGUGACGGUAAUGGGUAAAGAAGCACCGGCUAACUACGUG